GAUGAACGCUGGCGGCGUGCCUAAUACAUGCAAGUCGAACGGGGAGUAGCAAUACUCUUAGUGGCGAACGGGUGAGUAACGCGUUGGUACCUGCCCCGAAGCGGGGGAUAACGGACCGAAAGGUCCGCUAAUACCCCAUGUGCUCGGUAACGAGUAAAGGUGAAAACCACUUUGGGAGGGGCCUGCGUCCCAUCAGCUAGUUGGUAAGGUAACGGCUUACCAAGGCGAUGACGGGUAGGGGACCUGAGAGGGUGGCCCCCCACAAUGGAACUGAAACACGGACCAUACACCUACGGGUGGCAGCAGUAGGGAAGAUUGGUAAUGGGCGCAAGCCUGAACCAGCAACGCCGCGUGUGCGAUGACGGCCUUCGGGUUGUAAAGCACUUUUGACUGGGACGAGGAAGGACGGUACCGGUCGAAUCAGCCGCGGCUAACUACGU
Molecule: ribosomal RNA, 440 nt
Filed under: uncultured bacterium
Lineage: Bacteria
Description: partial 16S ribosomal RNA
Rfam family: Bacterial small subunit ribosomal RNA
Source: RNAcentral